GACGAACGCUGGCGGCGUGCUUAACACAUGCAAGUCGAACGGAAAGGCCCUGCUUUUGUGGGGUGCUCGAGUGGCGAACGGGUGAGUAACACGUGAGUAACCUGCCCUUGACUUUGGGAUAACUUCAGGAAACUGGGGCUAAUACCGGAUAGGAGCUCCUGCUGCAUGGUGGGGGUUGGAAAGUUUCGGCGGUUGGGGAUGGACUCGCGGCUUAUCAGCUUGUUGGUGGGGUAGUGGCUUACCAAGGCUUUGACGGGUAGCCGGCCUGAGAGGGUGACCGGCCACAUUGGGACUGAGAUACGGCCCAGACUCCUACGGGAGGCAGCAGUGGGGAAGAUUGCACAAUGGGCGGAAGCCUGAUGCAGCAACGCCGCGUGCGGGAUGACGGCCGUCGGGUUGGAAACCGCUUUCGCCUGUGACGAAGCGGGAGGGACGGUAAUGGGUAAAGAAGCACCGGCUAACUACGUG
RNAcentral lists this ribosomal RNA (468 nucleotides) under uncultured bacterium. Its description in RNAcentral is "partial 16S ribosomal RNA". It matches the Rfam family "Bacterial small subunit ribosomal RNA", at positions 28 to 507 of the family's 1533-position model. The record is from RNAcentral.